GGUCUUAAGCUCUAGGUGGUGCACAGGGGAAGGGCGAGGCGGGAGGUCUUGCGAUGGGAGAGGGCCACGGAGACACUUUCGAGGGGGUGAGCACAGACCGCCUGAAGCUGGAGCUGCUGGAGGAGAUCCACAUGAAGGAUGUCGUGCAGCUCUCCACACUUGAGAUACGGCAUAAGAUAGCAGAGCUGGAGGCCAACCUCAGCAGUGACCUUGCAGGCAGUGAGUGGAAAACCCGGUAUGAGACCCAGCUGGAGCUGAAUGAUCAAUUGGAAAAACAAAUCGUGUCUCUGAAAGAGAAAAUGGAAAAGGUCCGUGGGAACCCUUCAGAUAGACUGUCUUCCAUUCGUGUCUAUGAGAGGAUGCCGUUGGAAUCUUUAAACGUAUUACUUAAACAACUAGAAAAAGAAAAAAGGAGUCUUGAAAAUCAAGUGAAAGACUAUGCACUUAAACUGGAGCAGGAGUCAAAGGCUUACCAUAGGACCAACAAUGAACGUCGUUCCUACAUCGCGGAAAUGACUCAGGUUUCUGGCUUAAAUCAAGUAUCUAAGAGGCAACAGAUGGACCCACUGCCUAGAAUGAAGGAGAGUCCGGUGAAAACCAAAUUCUCCAAGAGGAGUGUUCAUGCUGGACCAUGUCCAGAGAAGGCCAAAGAAGAAAAGCUUUCCAGUCAGUAAUUGAUGGCUCCUGUAGUGUGUGUUGGCUCCUGGUUUUACCAUAGCUAUGGGCUGUUGAUUUUCUUGGAGUGGAAGACACAAUUCCAUGAAUCAGAAGACAACAAAUGCCAAGAAAGGACCAGUUAAAAAGGUUUCAAGAUCAAAUCAUCUUCCAAAACUCAACCCGUGAUUCCAGAGCUGGGCAGACUUCUAUUUUUUUCCCAUCUUUUUCUUCAUUCAGCGUCUUCAGUUUAGGAAGCUAAUGUUCAAUACAUUCCUCAGGGGAGGAAAUAGAUGAGGAAGAGUGCUUUCUCUCGAUCUUUCAAAAGUUGAUUCCUCUGCCUGCAUAAAAGUCAUGUGUCUCCAGUGACCCUAAAUAUCCAGUACAUGUGCUUGUAGUUCUUAGAAUACCUUAGAAGGGAGCCUGAAGGUUGACAUCAUUCUGACACUCUCUGUAGAGUGUUUCUGAUAUGCUCUGGCUGCACUGUUAUGUCGCAUUUGGUUUCUAAAUUGACCAUUAGCUAAAAUUAUAUAUUUUAUAUAUCAUAUAAUAAUAAUAUAUAUCUCUACCUUUUUGCUAUUUUAGAUUGCAUCAUGCUCAGUUCAGCUUUUUACAGUUAAGGUUUCAACAUAAUCCCAGAAGACGUGCAUAUGAAAGCUUCAGGGAAAUAUUGUUAGCAACUUCAGCCAUGCACUGAGUUGUUCUUGGGGCUCCCUCUGAUGGUAACCUUGAGGACUUAGGGGAAAUCCUGUCACUUCAUGUUUAUUUCCUACAUCUAUAAAAUGACUAUGGUAAAUUGUAUAGUUUAUAAGAUUUCUUGCAGUUCUAGAAAACCUAUUCAGUCCCAGUGGCCUGCCAUUGUGUAUGUGGCAUUAAAAUCAUUUUGUGAUAUUUACUAACUCGCAACAAUGGUCUAGUCUUUGGCCCAAACUUUGCAAGAGUUUGGAAUACUGGAGACUAGAAUGAAAUAGAGGGAGAAUAAGAAAUUAUUUUUAGGACCCAUGAACUUUAUUCAAUUUUAUUCAUGUUUAUGGUGUUUUGUAACUUGAAUGUUUUUUGUCAUUAUAAAUCUAGGUCAGAAAGAUCCAUAUAAUUUACUUGUCUAUUUAAAUAAGAGAAAUUAUUGGAAUUUACAUUUCUUGUGCAUGUUUAAGCAAGUGAUGUUUUGACCUGUACCUGAUGAGAAAUGUCAUUCGUUUCCUUUUAUAUGUAAUGUGUCUUUUACACCUGAGGGGUUUAUGUGUGUAUGUAUGUAUGUAUGUAUGUAUGUAUGUAUGUAUAAUGCAUAAUAUAUACCUGUAUGUAUAGAUAAUAGAACCAUAAUGCUGCACUCGUGAACUUGCAGUAGCUAUGGUUGUCUGCACAAAACCUGCAUGAGAUCAAGCUAGCCAACAUUCCAGCUCCAGUGUCAGAAGGAUACAUGGGCCUCACCCUUGCUGAGGAUCUGGUGACAGUAAAGGCUGGUAGAGAGAGAGAGCCCUUCUUUUUACGGGUGUGGUCCCUGGUAGGUUCAGAAUGAUCCAGUAGAUGGCCCCACAUCCAUGUAUUUAUAGACAACACUAACUGGCUUCAAUGGAAUAUAUUUGUGUAUAUGUAUAUAUGUGUAUAUAUAUAUAUGUGUGUGUAUACACACAUAUUUAAAGAUAUGCUGUUGGGAGGGAAUUAUAAGGAGAUCUGGAAAUUGGGAGGAAGUGAGUGUGUGUAUGGAAUAAACACACUGUAUACAUGCAUGAAAUUAUUAAAGAAUAAAAUGUAUUAAUAAAAUGGAACAUUGGCAUGA
This is an RNA transcript of Grammomys surdaster, 2434 nucleotides long. It is a transcript of the gene named coiled-coil domain containing 169, with no coding region annotated. The transcript is spliced from 9 exons. The record is from RefSeq and is a predicted model, not a curated record. NCBI's taxonomy places the organism in Eukaryota, Metazoa, Chordata, Mammalia, Rodentia, Muridae.